Molecule: ribosomal RNA, 279 nt
Filed under: uncultured bacterium
Lineage: Bacteria
Description: partial 16S ribosomal RNA
Rfam family: Bacterial small subunit ribosomal RNA
Source: RNAcentral
UGCCAGCCGCCGCGGUAAUACGGAGGGUGCGAACGUUGUUCGGAAUCACUGGGCAUAAAGAGCACGUAGGCGGUCUAUUUGGUCGGAUGUGAAAGCCCCCGGCUCAACCGGGGAACUGCAUUCGAUACCGAUAGACUCGAGGAUGGUUGGGGUGAGUGGAACUCCUGGUGGAGCGGUGAAAUGCGUAGAUAUCAGGAGGAACACCGGUGGCGAAAGCGGCUCACUGGACCAUUUCUGACGCUGAGGUGCGAAAGCUAGGGUAGCGAACGGGAUUAGAUA